Molecule: unclassified non-coding RNA, 341 nt
Filed under: Hevea brasiliensis (rubber tree)
Lineage: Eukaryota; Viridiplantae; Streptophyta; Magnoliopsida; Malpighiales; Euphorbiaceae
Source: RNAcentral
AAAAACUCCAAAUGAAAUCCCUCAAUUUAGCAAAACUUGGAACUUUUAACUUAGUAGUUUCCAUCAGCAGAAGAGAGGGAACAAUGGAAGCCGGUACUUUUCUCAGAGCUCUGAAUCCUUUCAAAUUCAGAGCAAAAUUUUCUGGGUCAUACACAACUCGCUGUUCUUCCUCUUCUUCCUCUAUCAAGAUUCCCACUGGGGCAGGGAAAGAAAUGGGGAGGAGAGCAUAUGAUGGAUUGUUGUUGGAUGCAGCAAAUACACUUUUGCAAUUGUCAAAGCCAGUUGAAGAGACUUAUGCUGGGAUUGGCAAGAAAUAUGGAUGAUGGACGGCCUUUCUGGAA